GGUCCACCAGAGAUAACUUCACCAAAGCGCAAGAAGGGUACAACAAGACUCAACUCUAUGGGUGUUGCCACGAAAUUAGCUAACAUUACAGUUGGAGCAUGGCACAGAGACCCAAGGCAAUGCAAUAGCCAUUCCACAUAGCAGAACAGUGACUCCACAUAUUGGAAAUAUUCCCAGAGUAAUCCCAAGAGCUGCAGAGAAUGCCAGUUGCUUUGGCUCC
This 220-nucleotide unclassified non-coding RNA is filed under the name Hevea brasiliensis (rubber tree). Lineage: Eukaryota; Viridiplantae; Streptophyta; Magnoliopsida; Malpighiales; Euphorbiaceae. The record is from RNAcentral.